Molecule: ribosomal RNA, 301 nt
Filed under: uncultured bacterium
Lineage: Bacteria
Description: partial 16S ribosomal RNA
Rfam family: Bacterial small subunit ribosomal RNA
Source: RNAcentral
CAGCCGCCGCGGUAAUACGUAGGGUGCGAGCGUUAAUCGGAAUUACUGGGCGUAAAGCGUGCGCAGGCGGUUCGUUAAGACAGAUGUGAAGUCCCCGGGCUUAACCUGGGAACUGCAUUUGUGACUGGCGAGCUAGAGUAUGGCAGAGGGGGGUAGAAUUCCACGUGUAGCAGUGAAAUGCGUACAGAUGUGGAGGAAUACCGAUGGCGAAGGCAGCCCCCUGGGCCAACACUGACGCUCAUGCACGAAAGCGUGGGGAGCAAACAGGAUUAGAUACCCCUGUAGUCCCUGUCUCUUAUAC